UGACUUCAACAGGUAAAGAAUGUUUCCAUCAGAUGUUAUUUUGCUCUGUCUCCUGAUGAAGUGUUGUCACCUCUCUCUUUUCUCUUCAGUCAUCGCUCUGAAAACUCGAGUGAAGUGAGCAUCGAUGAGGAGAUUGAGGAGGUGUCGAUAGAGGGGCCUGACAUCAGCCAUAAGCUUGAUGAAACCACUCAGGAUGUGAGCGUUUCACAGAAAAGUUUGGGUGCAGACUACAUUGAAGAUGUUGCUUGACACCUAUUUGUUGGUUCCUUAUUUUAUACUUUAUGUACUUAUGGAUUUAGUUGACAAUAAAUUAUUAAUUACAGCCUGACUGUUGACCCUUCCUGUUUUUCUUUGCCUUUUUUUUUUUUUUUUUUUUUUAUAAACGCACGGACAGAAAUGAAAGGAUAGCAAAUUCUCUGCCCUACCCAGGUUGUCUUUCCUCAUUAAAAACAAGAAGGAACAGAAACCUCUCACUGCUUUCCAUUAGAUUUGUUUGUGCUGAUACUGGUAAGUCGCUUCUUUUUUUCCACUUCAGUCACAUGUUAAAUUUUUAAGUGGAAAUGUAAGUCUGUGCCAGUUUCUGUUCAUAUGUAUGUAUU
This is a long non-coding RNA of Carassius carassius (crucian carp), 599 nucleotides long. RefSeq lists it as uncharacterized. The transcript has 3 exons. The record is from RefSeq and is a predicted model, not a curated record. Lineage: Eukaryota; Metazoa; Chordata; Actinopteri; Cypriniformes; Cyprinidae.